Hemicordylus capensis (graceful crag lizard) is the source of this 4108-nucleotide long non-coding RNA. RefSeq lists it as uncharacterized. NCBI's taxonomy places the organism in Eukaryota, Metazoa, Chordata, Lepidosauria, Squamata, Cordylidae. The transcript is spliced from 3 exons. The record is from RefSeq and is a predicted model, not a curated record.
GAGUGUUCUCUGCAGCAGAAGACCCCUUGCUGCCCUGCUUAACCCAGACCAGCAUUUGCCAGUUCCGUUUCAAGAGGCAUUAGCAUUUGCGAUGGAAGGUAUAUGUAGGAGGCGGAGCUGGUGAGUAUGUGUGUUUGUGUGUGUGUGUGUGUGUGUGUGUGUUGCCCUAGCAACCAGGCAUGGACGGUUCAGAGGGGGAGGGAUCUAAAAUUAAGGCAGUUGAGACAGAGAGAGGAGAGGAGAGCUGGAGUUAGUUGCAUUGGAGUAGGAACUGAUUUGAGCUGAGGGCUGAGAGUUUGGGGUGUGUGUUCGGAACAGGAGAGAUGGGGGGGGGGCGUUGUGUGGAACCUGAAUGGUGAAUGUGUGGAGGCUGGGGAACCAGCAGUGUACUGGGCAGCUCCUAGUAACAGACAAGAAGGUAUGGAAGAAUUCACUAAGUUUACAAACCCAGUUUUAAUGAUCUUUGUUCCACUGAUCUCACCUCCCAAUAUGUUACAUUUUAUCCAGAAGGAAGGAACCACUUCGAAAGUGGAACAGCUGAUGUACCUAGUAACUUGGUAGAAAACAGGUGUGGGGGGCAAUCUGGGUAGCAGCCCACAUUCUUUGAACCCGCCCAAUGGUGGUUCCACCCCUGGUAGAGAGCUUUGCAGACAUCUUUAUUCUAACUAUUACAGUUCAGAACAAAAUGAGCCAUCAUGAUUUAUUAAGUGGAUUACAGGAAGGCCUUACAAUGACAAGAAGAGUGGAAGAUAAGAGCAGCUAAAAAUGUAAAACAAAAUGGAAGAGGAAGAGGAUUUCAUCAGAUAAUGGCACACUAAAAUUAGACAGUGUCAUUCCGAAGAUGAAUUAUAAACUCUGACAUUUUGCUAAUGAUGAUUAUCAGUGGAAGUGGUGGAUUCUUGAACUUCCACAUGGUAAACAAGUGAUAUGUGCACUAAUAAAAGAAAUAUAGUAUAAUUCUGUCCUCAACCCAAGUGAGUAUCUGAUGCAUGCAGCAAUAAUCUUUCAAGUAUUUCUGCCCAGACGGACGAGGAACUCUGAUAGGAUAUCAGCAACAAUCAACUUUCAAGUGGAGAACUAGCACAUGAAUUACAGCUGUCAAAAUUCACUAAGCUUCUGGCAUAAUUCACUAACAUGUAUGCAACAGUGAUGCCUAAAAUUUAGUUGAUAUUCACAUGUGAAUGCUGACAAUAAAAAAAUGUUGUGAAUAACUGAAAAACAGUUAACAGAUUUCCCUACUUUCUGAAAAUAUUCAAGCCAAUGAUGACAGACUGUGACUCUUAGUUUGGGACAUUCAUGAAGAGAAAUGUCACCAUUCACAUAUAAAUGAUAAUGUCCAUCAAAAUUCUGUAAAUUCACUGUAAUACACUUUACAGAUAUGUAACAAUAAUUAUUAACUCUGUAUUCUUUUAUUAAUGUUGUAUGGUUGGGAAACAAAACAAAAAAGGUAAAGUAAUCCCUUGAUCUUAAAAAUUGUAUCUCAUGAAAAAGCGAUAGAUUCUGUGCAUUCAGAGAAAUCUUGAGAGUAAAAAGGUUACAUGAGAAAGAAUGCAGUACCUAAUAUAUUAAAUAUCUUAAAAAUAUUUCCCCAAGGAAUCAACAGCAGUAAGAAAUGACUACUUCCAAAAUAUGCAUUUACUAAACUAUUACUUUUAGACUACCUGGAAAUUUAGCAGUUUCAUAUUUGGUUUCUAACUGUAGAAAGUUUAAAAAUGCACAUGGUGCACCAGCACAGAAUUAAAUCACAUGGCAGUAAUAAUGACUGGCAGUAGUAAUGACAUGGGUUGAGGCAGUAAUAAUGAGUGGCUGCACAUCUGAUUCUGCACAGUUUUACCUUUUUCAUAAGCUAAGGUUUGGAGUCAUACCAUAUAGCAAAUUGAAUGGUUUGUUUUUAAUUUAUUGGGGUUGAGGCUCCAAGAACUGAGGUCAUGUGCACACAUGUAGCAGGACUUGGGGUCUCCCCACACACACUUGCAGUUCCUGUCAAACAGACACCCCAUAGGGUGGGAACCCUCACUUACAGCAUGCAACACAUCCCAAGGUUCUGUAGUCAGACAUAGAUACCCACAGAGCCUGAAGUCCGUCCGUAGAGCAUUUUGGACCCAAGACAUUACAUUUUUUUACCUCACUUAGUAUAUCCACAGCCAGGAAUCCAAAGAAAGGGGGCAAAGGGUGGGGGGGAGCUGCCCCAGAGCACCACAACAUGUUUUUACUAUUGUUAUCUACUGACUGUAUGGGGGAGGGGUGCAGGAGGAAGGCCUCAAGACUGUUUUGGCCUAGGCUCCAGAUUACCUCUCUGUUGAAAACGAAGAGUACACAUAAAUAUAUAAAGGAAAACUGAAAUAUGAAGACCCAUGUUUACAUUUUAUUAUUCUAACAUAGACCUACUUGCUGUGUGGUGCUAAUGGAAACAAAAGGUGCUAUCUUUAAAAAUAUAUAUUAGGUAUGUGAUACCACCAGUUUUGUCAGACUUCAUUACAUAUUUGCAUCAAUGUGAUUGCAAACAUAUUUGUAAUAUAACUGGUCAACUUGCACAUGCUUUUUAGGUGAAGAUCAGCCAAAAUAAUUUCUAAACUAUGGAAAAAGAGAAUCAACCACAGAGAAUAUAACAGGCUGAACAACUUUAAGUGUCUGUUUUGUUCCCUGUACCACUUUGUAAUGUACUAAGUGAAACAUUUUCAUCUUUCUUCAUGAGGCAAUUCUCAGGCUAUCCUCAUAUCUGAAGUUUGUGCAUUUGAUUCUAAGGGGGAGGAUAUAGAAAGUUCCCCUUUGUAAGUUACUAAGAAAAGUGGGGGAUAGGAAAGACAAUUCCCAAGUUAUUUCUUGGGCAUUCAAAACUAUUGUUUGUCACACUACAUCAUGGUCAAGAAAUGAAACCCAGGCAGGGAUAGGCACAUAAAACUCAAGAGUUUUAUGAAACAAAGGAAGGCCUGCAUUCUGUGCCUGAGACACUGGAGUUGCCAAUGCAUGUAGAUAACAAUGGGUUUCUCUGACUUCAGCUGCACCUGCAACUGAAGCCCACUUACUUGCUCCUAUAUUCCACAGGCAUGGGGGCACCUGUGCAUUAUGGGUGGAGAGGCAAAACAUUAUUCUUUCAUGUUAUUUCAGCCAACCUCUCCCCAACAUCUCAUAGUACUGAAAGCUUUCUCAAAGAUUUCCCUUUACACUAUUUGUGCUAGAAAAGACAUUUUAAAGCUCAGAAUCACCUGCUUAACAAAUGUGUCAGUUUUUAAAUGAAUCCAUGGGAAAAUAGCUAAGUUAUGAGGAGCAGAAGAUGAAAACCACAUAUGAAACUGCAACACCAUAUAUCAGGACUCCUGCCUGCCCCACAUCCCCUCCCCUGGGCAUAUUUACAAUUGGAGAUUUGCUAAUAUUGAAGCCCACACUGACUCAAAUUCUUUGGCAAGUCUUUCAAUAGUCUGUCUUCUGAACAAGGGUUUUUCAGGAAUUUGUUCUGGAUUUCAACAAAUUAAGAAAGUUGCUCUCAUUAGGUUCUACAGUCAGAUUCACAUGUGCUCAGCUGAAGUCAGUUAACAAUACAGAACAUUUGAGAUGAGAGAGAAAGGGAAAUAGUUUGUCAAAGGAAAUUUAUAAAAUCUACCACUUGUAGACUCCUCCAUGAUAACAUGUUUCUUCACUAGCAAUGCAGAUUACAUAUAAGUGGAGGAGGGAAAUGAAGACCGCAAGAUUAUCAGUAGAGCUGAUCUCUCUAGAUAGAUAGAUAGACAGACAGACAGACUACCCUCUUAUAUGGUUUUUUAGUACAAGGAAACAUUAUUUUUAUUUUAUGAGUCCUCUGCUCUUGUUCUCUUUAGCCCUGGGAACAACUGAGAAGGGCCUCAAUCAGAACUGCCAAAAUAUUUUUCCCCUUUCAGGGAAGAAGAAAUUUCUUGAAAAUAAAGGGCAACCAUUACACUUGGAUGGUUUAACUCAUGUCUCUGAAGUAAACAGACAAACAGGCUCAAUCACAUAGGCCUUAGCUCCUUAGUUGUUACUGCUUCUACCCAACAGGGCCUCGUCCUUCAUUUUGCUUCAUUUUACCUCAGAACUGCUUGAUCUCAUUUCUCCUUUGGCUUUUACUAGAGAUGUGCACAGAACUGGGCAGGUG